Maylandia zebra (zebra mbuna) is the source of this 580-nucleotide non-coding RNA. The record is from RefSeq and is a predicted model, not a curated record. NCBI's taxonomy places the organism in Eukaryota, Metazoa, Chordata, Actinopteri, Cichliformes, Cichlidae.
GAUCAGAGAAACUUCAUCAUCACCAUCUUCAUCGCCAUACGAUCAGAGCGUGAGACUUCACAUCUGGAGCACAGGAGAGAUUCUGUGAUAAGUCCUCCUUCUAGCUUGUCCCACAAGCAGUCGAGCUGAGACACUCAGGACUGAACAGACUGCACAGUUUCUGUGACUGAGCCUCCAAAACACCUUCUUUGAAACCACUCAUGAUAGAAGGGCUUCAUAUUUGCAGCAGCACUACUACAGUUGGCAGGAAUGUUGCUGCAGAAAAACAUCCCUGGAGAUCACCAUCAUUGUCAGACUGACUGUGCCUCCUCUGUGCAGUGUCAAGAUCCUCCCUAAAUGAGUGUUCCUCAGCUAUCCUGCUUCUGUGCUGCUUGCCACACAUCAAACACUGGCCGGAUGACAGGGAGGAUCCACUCUGAAGUCACUGGACAUGAUGAGGAACAUAUGGGACUUUAUAGUUUCACAGAAACGUUGUGCUCUGUGAUUACAGGUUUUAAAUGGACAUAAUGACUGCCUCUCUCUGAUCAACAGGCUAAAGGAUUGUUUUCAUUGUUAGUGCUCUGUACAAUGUAUGCUUAUU